Molecule: long non-coding RNA, 3263 nt
Organism: Sarcophilus harrisii (Tasmanian devil)
Lineage: Eukaryota; Metazoa; Chordata; Mammalia; Dasyuromorphia; Dasyuridae
Exons: 3
Source: RefSeq, a predicted model, not a curated record
GAUUCGUUCCCUCUCCUCCUGUUCCUUUGCUUUGCUGAGAGCAGGAAGUGCUCUUCUAGACCCCAGAGCAUAAGGGAGGUAUCACCAUGUUCAUAAGCUUCUGCAAGCAUAGAAGGUGGAGACAUAAUUAUUGGUUUCCGGCACUGGAUGAGCUGAUAGGACCAAGAACUUUGGUGGUGAGGACUUUCUUUUCCUGGUCUUCUGUGGCUGCGGCUGAUGAGGGAAAGGGCAACAUCUGCGGCAGAAGAUGCUGGGACCCCUGCUUGGAUCUGGACUGGAAACUCUUGGAAAACAGUGGAGUGCUUUUACCUCUAUCCCUCAGUAUCCUUGUGGAGAAAAAAGCAGGAGAGGAAGGGAGAGAGGGAAAGGGGAGCUCCCCUGAGAGGUGGUCACAGAAGUGCAUCCAGAAAAUAAUAAGAUGUUUCCUUACUCCUGAGGGACUGAUUGUUGUUUGAUUAGGGGGAAGGGGAGAAGAGCAGGGAAGGACAGCCUCCAGGGGGAGGAGGUACUCUCUGGUGUGAUGGUACCAUCUUGAGGAUGGGGUCAUGCUUUGUGGCAGUCUUCUGGAAGGAGUCUGGUUUCCCCUAUAGAUUUUUGCUUUCUACAGCUGUGAUCCCCGUGCCCUACUUCCCCGUGUAGAUAUGGCUGUCAAUAAGUGAAGUUGUUGUCUAGGUGCUCAAUUUAUGUCUCAGGAACGAUCCGUGGGUCAGCCAGAAAUGUUUGGGGAAAACAACCCCUUAUUGAGUCCUGGUGCUGAGAAUGACACGUAAAACAAUGAGCAUCAGCUCGAUGCAAAGAUUUAUUGUUCUAAAGUGUUUUUUUGAGAGUGGAUUUCUAAUGCUGUGAUUCCGAGUGGCCUCCCUGGAGCUGGCCCAGUUCCAUAUCAGAGGUCAGGGCAAAAUAUUUCUGGGAGUGUUUAUCAGGAAGAAAAACAAGCUGGUGGUAGGCAAAUAUUAUUUGGGGACACAAAUGUACAAACUUUCCUAAAAAAAAUUACUGUCAUUAUUUUUCUAUGAAUACAUUCUAUAAGGUUACAGUCUCCCUUUAAUGGAGACUAUAAGGCUUAAUCUCAUAACAAUUGGGUUUCCAUGCAUAAAUUCUGUAAGCUACAAUCUCCCUUAAGGGAUCUCAAGACCACAAGGCUCAAUCUUAUGACUGGUCAGCUGGGGAAAACCUCAGUUGGGAUGCCUGCCAAGUGGUCACUCUGCCCUAGUUAUGCUGAAAUUCUUAGCUUUGUCUCUAGCAGGCUGACUCUGGUGCCCUUGGACCUGGGGAUUGCUUGAGACAUUUAUUCUCAGAAGGUUUCCUCUUACAACCCAAAAUAUAUAUUGUUAAAUUAGAGUAGGUUAAAAUAGAGUAUGGAUAUCAAUUUGGACUAGUUUGAGGAGUGAAAUUGUGAGCCUGAGCUCCUAAGGAGCCUUUGUGGAACACAGUUAUCCUUAGGAAUAGAUUGGGGCAUCAACUCCAUUAUCUCUUGAGGUUUUUAGCCCAACAUCCUGUGAUUAUGUGUCUGUGACUGAUUGAAAGCAACAUCUACUGAACUCCUGGCAGAAAUGAUAAUGUGUGGGUGAGCAGACAGUAGAGAGCAGCCUGGGCAUGUUCAGGGUUCACCCAGUUUUCACUUGGUCUCAAGAAAAUAUCUCCUUCCACCCAACCACCCAAUCAUCCAUCCCCCCCCCCCAAUCAUCCAUCCACCCACCCAUCCAUCCGCCCAACUACCCACCUAUUUACCCACUUAUCUGCCUACCCACCCAUUUAUCCAUCCAUCCACCCAUCCACUCACCCACUUAUCUGCUUACCCACCCAUUUAUCCAUUCAUCUCUCCACCCAUCUACAAGCAUUUAUUAAAUGCCUUUUCUGAGCCAGUCUUGGUGUUGGCUUCAAAAGGCAUCGACACUAAUGGAGGAUGGCCCAUAUACAAGAUCUGUACAAAAUGAAUGCAAGGUAGUUUGGGGAGAGGGUAUGUACUUGCAACAGAGUGGACUAUGGAAGGCUUUGUCCAGAAUGCUUGAGCUGAGUCUUAAAGGAGACUGGAGUCUUUGGAACCUGAGGUAGCAGGUUGACUCAACAAAUUGCUCCUGGGUGUGGCUGGAGCGGGUUCUUUUAUUAUAAAAACAUAAGCUCUGUGAAUCCAGGUGCUUAAUACCUGUCUGCCCUCCUGGCCCAGAAGCUCAUGAUCUUGGCAUUUCCUGCCUGACAGGUUCUUCUGGAUCCUCAGGGUAUCAUCAAGCCAUCUUUCUGCUCACACUCUUAGGGCUACACCCUCUUUUCCUUACUGCCCCUUGACUUCACAGAGGCUUCCUAAUUUCCCCCAGGUUUCUCAGAGCCCCCAAGGGAGAGCUGAUGUUAGCCCCCUCCAUUUCUCACUGUUCUUGAGCUGACGCAGCACAAUCUAUUUCCCUCCUUGAGAUGUCAGGGCCCUGGUUUCUCAGCUAGGAUCUCUCUAUCCCCAGAAUGAAUCCAUUGAAUUAGGAUUCUGUUCAUCUCCUUAUCACCAUCAGCUGCACCAGCUUUAGUUCUGUCUGUCACUACCAACUAUUGCCUCUGACUGUUUCCACCUAUAAUGAUCAUCACUGAUAACCAAUAACUUCCACUACUGGAUACCACUAUGUGUACAUGCCCUGGAUCAUAGGAUCAUGUAGCACUGAAAGGAACCUGAAUUCAAUCUCCCUAUUUAAAUAUGAGGAAACUGAGGUCCAGAAAGGUCAUGUCUUUUGCUUGGGAUCACAAAGUAAGUCUGUAUUGGAAAUCAGGUUUUCCUAACUCCAAGUUCUCCAGUGCUUUAGUCACCACACUGUGCUGAGGGAUGCAUUUUUACAAAAUUCUAAGUUCUUUAAACAUACAACUUAUUCUCCAGUAGCCGCCAUUUUUGUCCAUGAGCAAUCUAAGUUUGAACUGUUAUACCUGCUCACUCUAGAAGUACUGUCUCUUGUGAAAAUCUACUGAUGAGAUCUACUGAUAUAUUACCACUACUGAGUGGUAAGUCUCUAUCCUGAACUCAUGAAGGGUCCCAGCUCUACUCAUUUCAAUCUGAACUUGAGUUUCUCCCUAAAUUUUCUACCUUCUCAUCACCUUUUCUAUCUCUUUACCUUCUGCCUCCACUUUGUUUUGUCUUCCUCCAUUAGAAUGUGAGCUUGAGAGUAAGGGUUGUCUAUAUGCUUGUCCCUUUUUACAUAGUAAAUUUCCCUAUCAUGGUUUUGAUAUAGCAGAUGUUGGCAGAGGAAAUGAGGAUUUAAAAAAAUAGCUUUUUAUUUUCAAAAUCA